Molecule: ribosomal RNA, 885 nt
Filed under: Latilactobacillus sakei
Lineage: Bacteria; Bacillati; Bacillota; Bacilli; Lactobacillales; Lactobacillaceae
Description: bacterial SSU rRNA
Rfam family: Bacterial small subunit ribosomal RNA
Source: RNAcentral
AUACAUGCAGUCGAACGCACUCUCGUUUAGAUUGAAGGAGCUUGCUCCUGAUUGAUAAACAUUUGAGUGAGUGGCGGACGGGUGAGUAACACGUGGGUAACCUGCCCUAAAGUGGGGGAUAACAUUUGGAAACAGAUGCUAAUACCGCAUAAAACCUAACACCGCAUGGUGUAGGGUUGAAAGAUGGUUUCGGCUAUCACUUUAGGAUGGACCCGCGGUGCAUUAGUUAGUUGGUGAGGUAAAGGCUCACCAAGACCGUGAUGCAUAGCCGACCUGAGAGGGUAAUCGGCCACACUGGGACUGAGACACGGCCCAGACUCCUACGGGAGGCAGCAGUAGGGAAUCUUCCACAAUGGACGAAAGUCUGAUGGAGCAACGCCGCGUGAGUGAAGAAGGUUUUCGGAUCGUAAAACUCUGUUGUUGGAGAAGAAUGUAUCUGAUAGUAACUGAUCAGGUAGUGACGGUAUCCAACCAGAAAGCCACGGCUAACUACGUGCCAGCAGCCGCGGUAAUACGUAGGUGGCAAGCGUUGUCCGGAUUUAUUGGGCGUAAAGCGAGCGCAGGCGGUUUCUUAAGUCUGAUGUGAAAGCCUUCGGCUCAACCGAAGAAGUGCAUCGGAAACUGGGAAACUUGAGUGCAGAAGAGGACAGUGGAACUCCAUGUGUAGCGGUGAAAUGCGUAGAUAUAUGGAAGAACACCAGUGGCGAAGGCGGCUGUCUGGUCUGUAACUGACGCUGAGGCUCGAAAGCAUGGGUAGCAAACAGGAUUAGAUACCCUGGUAGUCCAUGCCGUAAACGAUGAGUGCUAGGUGUUGGAGGGUUUCCGCCCUUCAGUGCCGCAGCUAACGCAUUAAGCACUCCGCCUGGGGAGUACGACCGCAAGGUU